This 2014-nucleotide ribosomal RNA is filed under the name seawater metagenome. RNAcentral describes it as "bacterial LSU rRNA". It matches the Rfam family "Bacterial large subunit ribosomal RNA", at positions 1022 to 2925 of the family's 2925-position model. The record is from RNAcentral.
ACACUCUUUCCCUACACGACGCUCUUCCGAUCUUAAGUGGUGACUCAGUGGGAAAGGAUGUGGAGUUGCGUAGACAACCAGGAGGUUGGCUUGGAAGCAGCCAUCCUUGAAAGAGUGCGUAAUAGCUCACUGGUCAAGUGAUUCCGCGCCGAUAAUGUAGCGGGGCUUAAGUUAUCCGCCGAAGCUGUGGCAACCUGUGUGGUUGGGUAGGGGAGCGUCGUGUCAGUGGUGAAGCUGCCGGGUGACUGUGUGGUGGAGUUGAUGCGAGUGAGAAUGCAGGCAUGAGUAGCGUGUGACGGGUGGGAAUCCCGUCCGCCGAUUAUCCAAGGGUUCCAGGGUCAAGUUUGUCUGCCCUGGGUGAGUCGGGUCCUAAGGCGAGGCCGACAGGCGUAGUCGAUGGGUAACCAGUUGAUAUUCUGGUACCGGCUUGUCACCGUCCGUGUCGAGGUGUGUGAUGCUAAGCAUGUGAGCUUGUCUUGGGAGUGUUUUUGAUGCUUCUGGGGUGGGUGAGUGUGUGAACCGAUCAUGUAGUAGGCAAGCUGCGGAGGGACGCAGUGAGGUAGCUCAUCCCCGGUGAUGGUUGUCCGGGGCUAAGUGUGUGGACUGUCUGGUAGGUAAAUCCGCUGGGCGUGAAGGUUGAGGCAUGAUGGGGAGCCCACGGUUGUGGGUGAGUGAGUGAUCCUGUACUGUCGAGAAAAGCUUCGUGAGCGAGGUGGCGGGUCCGCCCGUACCCUAAACCGACACUGGUGGAUAGGUAGAGUAUACCGAGGCGAUCGAGUGAAUCGUGGUGAAGGAACUCGGCAAAAUGCCCCCGUAACUUUGGGAUAAGGGGGACCUGAGCUGUCGUGCACCCGUGCGGUGUGGUGGCGGUGAGGGGCGCAGAGUCCAGGGGGAAACGACUGUUUACCAAAAACACAGGUCCGUGCGAAGUCGUAAGACGAUGUAUACGGACUGACUCCUGCCCGGUGCUGGAAGGUUAAGGGGAACUGUGAGUGUAUGCGUAGCGGUGAACUUAAGCCCCAGUAAACGGCGGUGGUAACUAUAACCAUCCUAAGGUAGCGAAAUUCCUUGUCGGGUAAGUUCCGACCUGCACGAAUGGCGUAACGACUUCCCCACUGUCUCAACAAGAGGUCCAGCGAAAUUGGUGAGCGCGUGAAGAAACGCGCUACCCGCGGAAGGACGAAAAGACCCCGUGAACCUUUACUGUAACUUGGCAUUGGGUUUCGAUUAACGAUGCGUAGGAUAGGUGGGAGAUGUUGAUCUGUGCGUUCCGGCGUACAGGGAGUCAUCCUUGAAAUACCACCCUUCGUUAAUUGGAAUCCUAACCUACGGUCGUAAUCCGGCCGGGGGACAAUGUCUGGUGGGCAGUUUGACUGGGGCGGUCGCCUCCUAAAGAGUAACGGAGGCGCGCUAAGGUUCCCUCAGGCUGAAUGGAAACCAGCCGUAGAGUGUAAACGUAUAAGGGAGCUUGACUGCGAGACAUACACGUCGAGCAGGUGCGAAAGCAGGCGUUAGUGAUCCGGUGGUUCCGAGUGGAAGGGCCAUCGCUCAACGGAUAAAAGGUACUCCGGGGAUAACAGGCUGAUCUCCUCCAAGAGCUCACAUCGACGAGGAGGUUUGGCACCUCGAUGUCGGCUCAUCGCAUCCUGGGGCUGGAGCAGGUCCCAAGGGUUUGACUGUUCGUCAAUUAAAGCGGUACGCGAGCUGGGUUCAGAACGUCGUGAGACAGUUCGGUCUCUAUCCUCCGUGGGCGUAAGAUAUUUGAGAAGAGCUGACCUUAGUACGAGAGGACCGGGUUGGACGAACCUAUGGUGUACCAGUUGUCACGCCAGUGGCACCGCUGGGUAGCUAAGUUCGGAAAGGAUAACCACUGAAAGCAUCUAAGUGGGAAGCCCCCUUCAAGAUAAGAUAUCUAUUAAGUGUGGUUGUAGACUACGACCUUGAUAGGCAGGAUGUGUAAGCACUGUAAAGUGUUAAGCUGACCUGUACUAAAUACACGUUUUGCUUAUCAAGG